GUGAUGUUCAUUUAUGGAUUUUAUGAUUUAAAUUUCAUAAAUACAUGAAAUUUCUUAUUUUGAAAAAUUAAUUAAUAAAUUGUUUAUAAACAAAAUAUAUCAACAAUUUUAUAUUUUAAAAUGAGACUGAAUAGUGUUUUUUUAUUUAUUAAUUCUCUUGAUAUUCCCUACUUAUUAUUUUAUGUUUUUUUUUUCUACUAACCACUUUCCUUUCAAAAUUCAUCAAUCCAAUUCCAAUUUUCACCAAAAUUUUCUCUAAAUUUCAUUUUUGCAGAACUCUUCCCUCUCCAUUUUGCCAUUUUCUCCCAAAAACUCUAGCAAUCUUCUUUACUCUUCUCUCUCCAUUCUGCCAUUUUUCUCCCAAAAACUCGAGCAAUAUUUUUUGAUCCAAUAGAAAGGUAAUCUUCUAGUAAGAGGGCAAUGAGUAUUCAAUUUGUUUGAGAGUUUCUUCCCUUUUUUUUUUCUACUUUUUGUUUGCAAAUUAAAUUUGCAUCUAAAAAACAACUUGUUUUGAUUUUUGUUACAAAUUCUCUUGAUAUUCCUUACAUAUUCUUUUAUGUUUUCCUUUUUCUACUAACCACUUUCCUUUCAAGCUUUGGUUUCAAGAAUUUUUAUUAGCAAUCAUUCCCUUGGGUUUGACAUCCUAACUUGCCACCAAGCUACAGUAAAAAGAAAAAACAAAGAUUAUUUGGAUCAAUGUAUUGUCUACUCGAUUUUUUGGGUUAAAUUUGAUAGAAGAGGAUCUACAAGAGAUCUUUGAUAACAACGCUUCCCAAUCCUCAUGGAGUUGAAGAAUCCAUGGACUAUGGUCACACAUACAUGUAAUAUUACAGUAAAUUUAUCUUUUGGAUUAUUGUAAAACCUUUACCAAUAAUAUAAGUUAAAUUUUUUAUUA
Long non-coding RNA from Cucumis melo (muskmelon), 895 nucleotides. RefSeq lists it as uncharacterized. Lineage: Eukaryota; Viridiplantae; Streptophyta; Magnoliopsida; Cucurbitales; Cucurbitaceae. The record is from RefSeq and is a predicted model, not a curated record. The transcript has 3 exons.